This 373-nucleotide unclassified non-coding RNA is filed under the name Zea mays. RNAcentral's name for it is "misc RNA Zm00001eb225750". The record is from RNAcentral. Lineage: Eukaryota; Viridiplantae; Streptophyta; Magnoliopsida; Poales; Poaceae.
CAAAUCUCUGGGGGACAUCGCCGUCCACGCGUGUUGAUGGGGUCCGGGCGGAGAUUGUUGGGCCACUGGAGAGGCCCGUUCCCACCUUGCCCCGACCUUUUUUGUGCGGUGGGCCUCUGGACUUGGUGCGGCCGGGAACGCCUCUGCAGAGAGGUGCAUCUUGUCCGCGUGAGGGGCCUGUUCAGGUUUCGUCCCUGCUUAUGUGUGUUGGGCCACUGGAGCAGAGGAAUGCAUCAAGUCCGCAUGAAGGGCCUCAUCAGGCUGCAGGGUCGCUGGAGCUGGUCCAUGGUCAGGCUCCCCCACUGAAGUAUUAUUCUAGAAGGCGGAUCAGGAGCCAGCAUCAGGUGCAAGAUGAGCUUGAUCCUACAUCCGA